RNAcentral lists this ribosomal RNA (253 nucleotides) under uncultured bacterium. Its description in RNAcentral is "partial 16S ribosomal RNA". It matches the Rfam family "Bacterial small subunit ribosomal RNA", at positions 524 to 776 of the family's 1533-position model. The record is from RNAcentral.
UACGUAGGUGGCAAGCGUUGUCCGGAUUUACUGGGCGUAAAGGAUGCGUAGGCGGAUAUUUAAGUGAGAUGUGAAAUACCCGGGCUCAACUUGGGUGCUGCAUUUCAAACUGGAUAUCUAGAGUGCAGGGGAGGAAAGUGGAAUUCCUAGUGUAGCGGUGAAAUGCGUAGAGAUUAGGAAGAACAUCAGUGGCGAAGGCGACUUUCUGGACUGUAACUGACGCUGAGGCAUGAAAGCGUGGGGAGCAAACAGG